GGCUGCUUAUUUUCAAAGGAAACUGGAGACCAACAACUAAAAGAAAAAAGAAAAAAAACUUUUCUCAAUUUUUUUGAAAAAACAGAGCGGGUGCCAAGGCAAACUGGCAGGAAACUGAGCCAUCAGGGAAAAGUUUCUCUUGGUACCUAGUUCACUCCAACAGCUUGAACCCAAACGAUUUCUCCAACCCGCAUCCACACCCAGCAAGCUGUCUUGCCUGGGUCUUUGAAAAGGCUCUGUUGAAGGGGAAAAAAAAGAGAUGAGAGAAAGUCCCCAAGGUCAAAGAAAGGCCCUCUGCUGUGCCCCUUGCUCUUUCCAGUUCUUUCAAAAUCUAGGUGAAAGAUGCCAGUAAGCGUAGCCAACUGACUUCCUUUCAUUCACACAGUUAAGGAGCCCUGAUCCACACUGCGCACAAUGCCACUAAAGACCUUUUCCCACAUUCCAGCCUCUCUCUGAAGCGUGGGCUUUAAUAUAAGUAUUAUAUUCUCAUCCACUAAGCUGGAACCAGCUCACUGAGCAGGACAUCUUUCUUUUGGCAACAUUUUCUGUCAGCGAUCUUUCUCCCGGUAGCCCCGUACGGAACAGGGUCCGUGUCUGAUCUGAUGAACCUGUGCUUGCCCCAAAGCUUAACGUGAUGCUUCGCACAGAAUAAGUGCUCCCUAAAGACCCCAAACCACCGAAAACAGACAUGCAGAUCCAGCAACCGGUCCAGCAGAGGAACGGGGAUUGAAAAGAGUCAGGAGACUGAAGAAAGCUUGACUCACCGGUCGGCUUCGGCACAGCAAGUUCCAAAAGACUGCAGCAGAGGGACACCUCUUAACAAGCCAGAGCAGAAAGGGCUGGGAAAAAGACCGAAGUGGACGCAAGGGCAGCAGAUCAGACUCCCCCAGAAAACAAGGCCCAUGGAUACCUCCUCAGUUAACAUCAGAUUCCUGCAGGAUCGCUGAUGGAACAUAGAGAAACACGAGGAUUUCAAGUGGAUAAGAUGGAUAAAAGAAGGUCAUUCAAACAUUGGGUAAAAUGUAUUCUGUGUUUCAAAGCAUAGAUGUUUUAAAGAAUGGUUUCAUUUUGCUCUUGUAUAACAGGGUCUCUAAAAUUUACAAAUAAAAAUUAAUGAACCUUAA
Molecule: long non-coding RNA, 1124 nt
Organism: Ornithorhynchus anatinus (platypus)
Lineage: Eukaryota; Metazoa; Chordata; Mammalia; Monotremata; Ornithorhynchidae
Exons: 4
Source: RefSeq, a predicted model, not a curated record